Molecule: long non-coding RNA, 217 nt
Filed under: Ananas comosus (pineapple)
Lineage: Eukaryota; Viridiplantae; Streptophyta; Magnoliopsida; Poales; Bromeliaceae
Description: long non-coding RNA (ACOM_LNC000209)
Source: RNAcentral
AGAGAGUUAUUGUGCUAAGCACAACAGUCCGUAUGCUCUUAUCUUUCUAACUAUUUUGAUGAGUGAUCAGAGUGACAGAAAAAAGAGAAAAUGAAAUAUCCAAUUUCAUCCCAAUUUCUCUUCUCUCUCUCAUUCUGACCAUCCAUCAAAACUGAUAAAUGGUUAGAAACUUAUAAACACACACUGCUGUACUCCUAAUAGUACAGUAAUCUUAUAU